CAGCAGCCGCGGGAAUACGUAGGGUGCGAACGUUAAUCGGAAUUACUGGGCGUAAAGCGUGCGCAGGCGGUUGUGUAAGACAGGUGUGAAAUCCCCAGGCUUAACCUGGGAACUGCGCUUGUGACUGCACAGCUAGAGUAUGGCAGAGGGGGGUGGAACUCCACGUGUAGCAGUGAAAUGCGUAGAGAUGUGGAGGAACACCGAUGGCGAAGGCAGCCCCCUGGGCCAAUACUGACGCUCAUGCACGAAAGCGUGGGGAGCAAACAGGAUUAGAUACCCGCGUAGUCCCUGUCUCUUAUAC
Molecule: ribosomal RNA, 301 nt
Filed under: uncultured bacterium
Lineage: Bacteria
Description: partial 16S ribosomal RNA
Rfam family: Bacterial small subunit ribosomal RNA
Source: RNAcentral